GAACCUGGAGAUAGCUGGUUCUCUCCGAAAUAGCUUUAGGGCUAGCCUCAAGUGAUGAUUAUUGGAGGUAGAGCACUGUUUGGACGAGGGGCCCCUCUCGGGUUACCGAAUUCAGACAAACUCCGAAUGCCAAUUAAUUUAACUUGGGAGUCAGAACAUGGGUGAUAAGGUCCGUGUUCGAAAGGGAAACAGCCCAGACCACCAGCUAAGGUCCCAAAAUAUAUGUUAAGUGGAAAAGGAUGUGGCGUUGCCCAGACAACUAGGAUGUUGGCUUAGAAGCAGCCAUCAUUUAAAGAGUGCGUAAUAGCUCACUAGUCGAGUGACACUGCGCCGAAAAUGUACCGGGGCUAAACAUAUUACCGAAGCUGUGGAUUGUCCUUUGGACAAUGGUAGGAGAGCGUUCUAAGGGCGUUGAAGCAUGAUCGUAAGGACAUGUGGAGCGCUUAGAAGUGAGAAUGCCGGUGUGAGUAGCGAAAGACGGGUGAGAAUCCCGUCCACCGAUUGACUAAGGUUUCCAGAGGAAGGCUCGUCCGCUCUGGGUUAGUCGGGUCCUAAGCUGAGGCCGACAGGCGUAGGCGAUGGAUAACAGGUUGAUAUUCCUGUACCACCUAUAAUCGUUUUAAUCGAUGGGGGGACGCAGUAGGAUAGGCGAAGCGUGCGAUUGGAUUGCACGUCUAAGCAGUAAGGCUGAGUAUUAGGCAAAUCCGGUACUCGUUAAGGCUGA
This 724-nucleotide ribosomal RNA is filed under the name Staphylococcus aureus. Its description in RNAcentral is "partial 23S ribosomal RNA". It matches the Rfam family "Bacterial large subunit ribosomal RNA", at positions 835 to 1559 of the family's 2925-position model. Lineage: Bacteria; Bacillati; Bacillota; Bacilli; Caryophanales; Staphylococcaceae. The record is from RNAcentral.